This is a non-coding RNA of Monodelphis domestica (gray short-tailed opossum), 19255 nucleotides long. NCBI's taxonomy places the organism in Eukaryota, Metazoa, Chordata, Mammalia, Didelphimorphia, Didelphidae. The record is from RefSeq and is a predicted model, not a curated record.
UAAUCAGUUAUUUCCCUUUAAGACCCGUGAUUUUAUGGGGUUUUGUUUGUUUGUUUGUUUGUUUGUUUUUGGUUCCAGCACUUUUACCUUUUUUUUUUUUGAGGAAGAUACUAAAAAACAUAAAUAUGGAGUUUCUUAACAAUCUAACCAUCACUGGUCACUUUCAUUUUUGGAUCUUGAACCAUAUUAUCUAACAUUUUUCAAUAUUUAUUCCAUGUCAUCCUUCAAGUAUGGUUUGUGGAUGAUGCUCUGGAUAGAAUGCUGGCCUUGAAGCCUAGAAGGCCUGGAUCAAAUCUCACCUUUCUGAUACUUAGUAAUGUGUAGCCCUAGGCAUGUUCUCUUCCUUCACUAACCUUUAAUUUUCUUAUGUUGAAUUUUUUUGUGGUUGAGACUAAAAUCUAAAAUAUUUUAAUUAGGUGGUCAUCAGGGAUUUCAUUUCUAAAUCCCAAAAUGAAUUACUAAAGGAAAGAGAAUUUAUGGUAGUUUAUUUAUAAUAGAGAGAAGAUAUUAAAGAAUGAGAGAGAGAGAGAGAGAGAGAGAGAGAGAGAGAGAGAGAGAGAGAGAGAGAGAGAGAGAGAGAGAGAGAGGAAACUCCAGCUUCCUCUGAGCCAGGUAUAAAUACUAAGGCCCUAAUCAGGAAAAAGAAUCUCAAGACAAUGGGCCUUUCUUGGAGGUUUAUACCUCCAAGAAAGGCAGGGUCACUAAGUCAGCCUUUUACUCACCAACAGUGACUGUCUAAAAUGGAAAGCAGUCUGAGGUCUCCUGCAUGAGCUCCUCCUGGGGUCCAGUUCCACAGUCUCUCCUCCAAGUCAGAGAGCUCUUUGAUCUCCUCGAAUUGAAUAUCCUCCAUCCAACUCGAAUCUCUCAAAUCAAAUAUCUCUGAAAUCUUCUUCUGGCCUCUGGUCCUCUUUUAAAAGAUCUUUUUCUCUUGUGUCACCUCCCCUAAAUUUCACAUCUACCAAUCACAGCAGAUGCUUUUCUCCAGAACUGCCCACUCUUUAGUUCCCAUCUUCUUUGGUUAGAUUAUACCCUUUGGGUUACUUAAUACCUUUUUUGGUUAGUUCACCUUUAGUAAUUGCUUAACACCUUUUUGUAGUUAAAAUUGGUAGAUCUACUUAAAAUACUGAGUUAUCACCUUUUGGGGAUUAAAGUCUAAAAAUAGAUUGUGGAUUACAACUUAAUCUUCCCAAUAAAGGAAGAGCCAAGUACCUUCAUUGUUACAAUCAGGGGAUUACAAUUUAAUCUUCACAAUAAAGGAAGAGCUAAGUAUCUUCAUUGUUACAAUCAGGAGAUAGCCAAUCUUCAUACUUAUCCCCAAAAUGGUGAUGAUGGAAUCUCCUUCAUAGGAUUAUUGUGAAACUCAAAUGAAAUGGUGUAUGAAAAGUGCUUUGCCAGUUUUUUAAACCUUAUACAGAAAUCAGUCACUAGUAUUACAUGGCUUGACUUUGAAGAUCUUGUCAGAUUCUUCAUAGGCUUUCACCAUUUCAUCAUCUUCUCUAAUGUAUGUUGGCAUUUGAUCUGCAGUUGGUUUUUUGCCUGCAUCAAUUGUGAGCCCUACAAAGUGAAAUUAUUAUUCUUUGAAAUGUUUUUUGUUUUAUUUGGGUACAUCAUGAAACUGCUUAACCAACUCUUUUCUUUGCUUCUUCAAGAAGGUCCUGUGUGCAGUCCCUCCAUUUACUGGCAAUUUCUUGAUAUCUUCUGAUUUCACAUAUUAAUAAUGCUCAAUAUUUUCGGGGUUUAGUUCCUCCAGUCAUAUAUCAACUCACUGGACAAAUGUCUUUCAUUUAGAGCAUGAAUAAUUACACUAUGUUUAUAGACUAGCCGAAGCAUUGAAAACAGUUUAGACAGUGCUGCUUUAGCACUGUCUUAAAUUGAAAGGAAAUAACUGUCAGAGCCAUUAGUGCCAGGGCUCAUGGAAACAACCCUGAAAGCAUAUCAAAAAUUGGAAGUAAAUUGAUAAAUUCUGUGUAUUGAGGGAGAUCUGAUAAUUUUGGUUGUAGUUUGGCUAAUCUCAUAGAAGGGCCUUCAAGGUCAAGUUUGUCUGUCUAGACCUAAAAAAGAAUUAUCUAAUCCAGAGAUUAGGCAAGUAAUCUUGGAGUUCAUGUUGAAAUUCAGGGUCUACUGCUUACUCUUAUGAGACAUUCUCUCUGUGUUGUUGCCUUUUUCCUAGUUAUGAAAUUAGGAUAAUAAUUUUUGAGACAUAGUUAUGAUUUUUUUAAAGCUUAGAGUCAUAGAAUCUUAACAUUGAGAGGAGCCAGUCUAGCCUCCCUUCCAAGAAAGGAAUUCCUUCUUUGAGCCUAGCAGAGACAAGCUAUGGGAAAUGCAAAGUGAAAUGCACAAGAUGUCAUGGGAAAGAGGAAAAUGUUUUUUUCAGAUGGGUAAUAUGAUUAGCAAUAUGUUAUUUUUAAAUGAAAUGCACCUAUUCUGAUUUUAGUGAAUAAGCAGUCUAAGAGAUAAAAGGGCCUUGUUAUAUUACUCUACUUAUGAAAAGAAGAUGGUAGAUAAGGAAGUGUUGAUCCAAGAAGAAUAAAAUUUCAAUAUAGAGGACAGGGAACACAGAAGGAAAUUCUGAUAAAGGGAAGAGGAAAUCUAAAUGAGAGAAAAAAGCAUAGCAAUUAUGAUGGAAUGAAAAUCAAUAAAACCAAAAUGAAAAGACCAUAAGUCAAAAUGGGGCCAGAAUGUCUUGUCUGAUACAGAAACUUCCAUCCAUAUUGUUCACAGAAAAAGUUACCUUUUAGCAAGCUGUGAGCAGAAGAAGAUAGGAAUCAUAGAAAUAAAGGGAGACUCUCAGAGGUCAUCUAGUUAAUUUUUGAAAUUAGGCAGCAAGCAAAGGUACCAAAUAAUUUCAUACAGUUAAGAAACUAUCCUAUAUUUUAAGGCUCCUCCUGGAAAAGGCAAUUUUGAAUAAUUUAUAACAUCUAUCCUUGCUUAAUAAUUUUCACUUUCAGAAAAUGUUUCCUUGUCUAAAUUUCAUUUGGCUAUUGUGAAGAUUAAAAUUAUAACCCCUGACUAUUUUUAGAUUUAAUCACCAAAAGUGUAAAUACCCUAUUUAAAGGUUGAGUAUGGAGAUCUGCCCAUUUUUGGAUCUAAUCACCAAAAGUAUAAACAACCCACUUAAUCAUUAAGUUGGAGGUCUGUGACCCACAUGUACAAUAGGGGGUGACGAAUCAGAAUUAAACUAACUGCCCCAGGGCAGUCUUAAAGCAAAGCUUCAACUGUGAUUGGUAGAUGUAAAAUUAGGGGAAGACACAGGAAGUGACACAAAAGAAGCAUUUUUAAAAGGAGCUGUCACUUCCUGUGAGGGUCAGUUCUUCAUUCUUUGGAAGUGGAGACUGGAGACAAUUCUUCAUUCUUGGGAGUGGAGGCUGGACCUGAGAUUGGUGAAGCUGUUCUAAAAUCUCUUCCUUUGAACUGAAACGUGGUGAGUGAAAAGCUGACUCUUACUGCUGGAUUUUCUGAGAAAACUAACCUCAGAAGAGAUUUACCUCUUGAAGAGAGACUUAGAUAUCUUACUUAUCCUCUCUCUAAUUUUCUUCAUUCUUUCUACACUUUGUAAAUAAAUUGUAAAUAAAUCUCUUUGGAAUAAAUUAAAUUCCUGGUGACCACACUCUUAAAUAAUCCAAUCCAACCCUUUAAAAAAUAACCCCUUUCCCCCCCUUACACUGCCCAGGUUGUGUCCUAGUGAUGUCUGAAAGAGUUCUGUUUAGUUAGGUUAAAUUUCUCCACUGGCAGCCUCUUUCAUCUUUUAAGAUUACUUAUUAGACAGUUUUUGUUUGAAGAACACACAUUUAGGUAUUUGGUAAUAAAAAAAAAAGAAUAAGAAAGACUUCUAUUCCCCUCCCCCCAAUAAUGGGUGGCUCAAACUACAUUCAAUCCAGAAGUUAGAAAAGAAUUUUAUUUGAAGAAGAGGUUUAAGGUCAUGAAAUAGCCUAAUAGCUGAUGGAAUAGCCUGGGAGCUAAUCAAAUAGCUUUGGGACUGAUGAAUUAGCCCUAGGGCUAGUAGGGUAGCAGUUCUGGAACAGAUGGAAUAGCAGCUCCAUACCCCUGGGCUAAUGGAGUGGCAACUCUCAGGUUCCUGGAGUAGCCCUUUGGGCUGUGAAUCAGGGUUUGCAUAUUUAUUAGAGCCUGGGGUCUAGUAUCUCCCACUCCAGGGAAAUCUCCUCUUUUCCAGAAAACCCUGGAAAAUGGGGAUGGCCAAAUUUAGGUCUAGGUAUGAUUCUGGGUUUGGCACAUCAGAGGUUAACUUUGGGGACACCAGAAAGGGAAUAAGGAACAUGCACAGAUUUGGAGGAUCCUUCUGGAAUGCCAGAGCCUUUAAUGAGCAUGUGCCAUGUUUCCCCAUGGUUCCAUCUGGCAUCAUUUGUCAAUGUGGGAGAUGUCUCGCUAUCCUUCUGGAAUGUAGGGAGGGGAUACAGCAUGGUAGAUGACCACUAUGGAUAGUUAAUAAUGCCUAGCAGUUUAGAACUAAGGUAAAUAAAGAAUAACACGAGUAACUAAUGAUGUAGAGCAGGCACAAAGCUGAUGCCAGCAUAGAAUAUUACAGAUCCAGUAAAGGUAAUUGAUGAUACAGAAUGGGUAAAUGAUCAACAAUAUAGAUUCUACAGUGCAUGUUUGACUAAUGCUAGAACUACAGGUUUUGCAGUUGAUGCUUAACUAGUGCUAACUGGUGAGAACUGCAAGAUUUCAGAGCAUGAGGAUCCUGUUUCUAUUAGUGCCCUCCACUGCCCACUGCCAGUCUCCAUCAGUAUCAUGGAUAGUUUUAUUUUUGUUCUUGUAUCUCCAGCAUCUAGCACAGUCCGGCAUAAAGAAGCUACUUAAUGCCAAAUGAAGAUCCUUUAGCUACAAAUGUAUGAACUUAUAAUCCUAUAAGAAAGGAAAAAAAACUCAUUUUUUCUUUCUUGAAUUUUCUCUCCCUUGUAUUUUCAGGCCUCAGUGACAGAAGGAGUUCCUUUCUCUUCUAACCAUGAGGAGCAGAAAAUGCUGUCUUACAGGGUAAACACAUGACAAUCUGCCUCUACUUUUUCAGGCAAACUUGAAAGGGGAGUGCUUCUGCCUUUUUGCUUCUUUUUCUUAGCAAAAGUCAGAGACUAGAAAUACUGAGGAUGGACAUUUACAAUUUGGGCUCUUUCCUUUUGGGUAGGUUAAUUCAGUGUUCAAGAGCUGGGCACUGGCCUUGCAGAGGUAAGACCUUAAUAAUAUGUUUUUCAGAGGGAAGAUAACCCUUCAGCUAAAGGACCAAAGCCAUGCCACUUGGGACCAGUAGAUCUGACCCUUCCGACCCGUUGUGACAUUUCUGAGUUGCUCUGAUACCCAAAUGGCAUGUUUAAUAUCAUAGGAGGAAGGAAUUCUGUUACCCACUUUAGGAAAACCUAUACCUUUCCUGGGAGGAGGAAAAGGAAUAAAAAAGAGAAAUGGACCCUUUUGCAUCAGGCCCCUAGGAUAAAGCCUUGUCCAUGAGAACCCAGAGUCUUUUGGGAUGCUUGGGCUUUUAUUGACAUGAACAUAAAUGAUUGCUUUUCCAACAUAAGAACCACAGCAGAGAGUACAGGGACUAGUGACCCGCAUCAUUCUCUGUUCUGUGCCUUGUCACAGACUGGCUUCAGCUUUUUUGAAGUCUGCCUUUAAUUAGAGGGGUUAGACUCACCAUUCUCACACUUUUCAGUUCAUUAACAAAUCUCUAAUUGGAGGAAGUUGCUAAUUAUAGCAAUAAUUAUGGCCGAACAUCUUAAAAACAUUCCCCCAAAGUGUAUAGUAUAUAUCAGGUAAGGGACAGAGAAUUUAUUCCUAUGUAGAAUAAAGAAUGCUCAAUAUAAAAGGCUCAUAGUAUGCAUUAAUAGAAUGAUUUAAACAACUUAGAAACUAAACUUAUAAUUAUGGUUAAAAUUGACUAGGAGGUUAAUAUUUUGAACCUAAUCAGAACAAUAGCAUGAUUAUACAAUACUGCUACAAUACGGCUUUUCACGUUUAACUUCAGUAUUGGGUACCAUCUGGUCAUUUUUCGUCGUUGCUAGUAAAAUAAACCAGACUUGCCCCCCUCCUUCUAGUAGCUGAAUUUUCUAAUGCUACUCCAGCGAAUACCACUGCUUCUGCUAUGCCAGUUGCCUCCCAAGACUUCUUGACCCUUCAAAACUCACAUCCACCAUAGAAUACUCAUUCUCCUAAGAUCAAGAAAGAGCAAAUGCAAAGAGAGACAGCAGCAUCCAGGUCUCCAAUGCAAACUCGACUGCUUAAGUCUCCUUGGAACUAACUGCUACAAGGGCAGGAUAGUCAUUCCAUUGGGAUAGAGAAGGGCUCUGGGCUUCCUACUGCCCGCUGGAGUCAUGUCCCAUUCCAUGGAGAUUCAUAGCCAAAAGACCCCAGCAGGAACUUGUCUCUCUUUUAACAAGUCCCCUGAGUAAUCUGAUUCUCUGGCUCAGCAGCUAACUAGUCAACUCUUCAUCAUCCCACAGAGUAAGACCCUGCAUAUGACUGGAAGUAACCCACCCACCCAGGCUUUGAAAUAGUAGAUUAGAAGAGACAAAGGCUAUCUGCCUGCAUACUCUAUGCAGCCCCCUAGAAAGGGCAAAUCCAAGUGUGCUCCAUGACUAUAUUACAUAGUAUUUUCUUAACGCUUUUUUGGUGAGUAUCUGUUGAAAUAAUCACAUGAUUUUUAUUAUCUCGGUUGUUUAAAUGAUUAAUUCCAACUGAAUCAUCAAAGAUUGACUCAUCCUUGCAUCCCUGGUAAGUCAUGGUAAAUUAUUUUCUUGAUAUAUAUAGUUAUAGUCUUGUGAGAAUUUCAUUUACUUUUUUAUUGCAAUGAUGAUAAAAUGAAUGAGUGUGGGGAGUUGGUAGGGGAACUCUGAUGAGUUUUUAAGAAGCAGAUUUUUGGAAUCUAUGAAACUGAACUGAAAGGCCUGCUCAGCCUCUUCUGUACUAGCGCUAAAGAUAGCUAGCUCCUCCCAACAGAGUUCCAUUCUUGUAAGGGUCCAAGCCAAGCAUACCAUCUUGGGGUAGCUGUGUUAUCCAGGCACUAAAACUCAUCCCCUGGAGGUAUCCGAGCUCCCAUCAAUCAUCUCACUUUAGGACAGCCCCAGGCACUGAUACUUGUCAAGAAUAGUUUGUCUUACCUUGUCAAGGAGCAUGUCUUACACUAUAGCAAGGGAAGUAUGGACUAUUAAAGGUUCCCAACAAAGGUGAACUCUCGGAAAGCCAAUUAAACUGCUAGAAAGUCAGAUUAUGAGGAAAACUGUAAAGGAGUGAAACUGAAAUUGGGAAUAAAAGUUGUUCUGGGUCUGAUACCAACAUUGUACUAUGAGUUCCUUUAUAGGAAGGACCCUGCUAUUCACAUUGAGGGAAAUCCCAGAUGGGAACUAAAUAAUACCUCUGUUUUAAAAUUUUUACCUAGAUAAAUUUAGAUGGGGUCAUAAGGAGUUAAAGAGAUAGACUGACCCUUCUCUGACCCCAGGAUCACGAUGGAGCCUUUGGGGAGUCACUAGACGAUAGAUGAUAUGUUUUACAUAUAAUGUAUUGAACAGGAGCAUGCAGAGGAUCAUACUAUCCAUAGGGAUUCCCUCUUCCAUUUGGACUUUGUGCUAGAUUUUCUUUAUGACUAUUAACACCUUUUGUUAAUAUAUAUCCCCUUAUCUGAUGCCUCACUUUAUUUAUCGAAAGGUUAUCAAACAGACAAUUCUGGUGUAACAUAUUCCAGGGAAUCAUUUAUGAUUUUGACUCAUGUCAUGGGAGACUCAUUGUUUGAGGAGGGCCUUUAAGGCUGUGUUCUGCUUUUCACAUCAAACACUUUUACAUUCAUUAAGCUAGAAGCACAGUGGGAUCUUGGAUUCUCUAUUCUUUUCAGCCAGUUGUGUGUCUAAAAAUGUGAUCUGCUGCAAAAGUUUGCUUUUUCCCUAAAAAAAAAAAUUAAAUUCUUUUUAAUCAACAACAAAAAAAAAAUUUGCUCUUUUUCCUUCACACUGAGAAAGAAGAGAAAAAGAAAAGGGAAAAAACCCAAGUAUGCUGUUUAUUCCUUUCUAGUAUCCUCUUUAAGGAUACUUUUGAUGCAUAUCUAAAUGAUUUUCAUAAAAACUUCAUGUGAAUGGGAAAGUGAGAAUGUAUACUGGUAGUUACUGAUAUUCUCUUGAUUGCCUUUUUUAAAAUAUUAGGGUCUAAUUAUACCCUCUUCCUUCCCCAACAUCUUUGCUAUCUUCUUUCAUAUUCCUUGAAUACUAAUCCUUCAGUACCCUUAAAAUUGCAUUUUCCCACCUAGAACCGCCUCUAUAUAUUCUUGUUCUGGUCUAGCUGCUUUUUCCUUUGUUUUCUUGAGUGCCAUUUCUACUUCCUCAGGUAGUACUUUCAGUUUUCUGAUGCUAAAUGUCCAAAUGUAGCAGUUCCACUAUCCUUGAUUGUGAAAACAAGUUUGCUAUAAAAAAUUUUUCCUUUUUUGGCCAUUUCAUUGUCAUUCCAGUUUCAUCUUUAAAUGACAUUGGGAUAACUUUGCUGAUUUGGGUCUCUCACAAACUUUCUGUAACCUUGUUUUCCUCUCCACUGGUUCUUGAUGUUAUGUAGGGUUAAACUGUAUAUACUCUUCCAACGUAUCUCCUCAAAAUUUUACAAAGGAGUUAAUAUUCUAAGCUGAUAUUGCAUUUGGCUCUCAUGUGUUUCUGCUUAACAAAGAGAUCGCUUGUUUACUAAUGGGAUUUCUCAGCUCUUUUGGUCUCAUGGCAACUGAUUUAUAUUAGUUACAUUUUUGUAGGAAAUUGUUUUAAUUAAAUCAAUGUCCAUUCUUCUAUCUACCCUCGCCUAAUCUUUCCCCCCUUUUUGCAGCAGCAGUUUGUUCCAAUAAGCCAGGUCAGAUUUGUUUUAAUUUCAUGAAAAAUCUUUCUCAUUAUUUUGCAUUACAUUUUAUCUUUGCUCUAACAAGUCAGCAGUCUAAUUUGUACAGACUCAAAUCAGUAAAAAGUUGUUUUCGGUUCAAACAUAAUCAACAUCAUUUGUUUGUGUUUUUAUUUUUGUUCUUGCCAUUUCUAGUGUCCUCUAAUUCCUUUCUCAACAUGAAUGAUAUAUAGGCAUGAGGGUUCUAUGUAGAAGACGAGUCUGAAAUAUCUCCCAUUCAUUCCUUGCCUUUGAACCAUAUUUUCCCCCAUAUUUUUCUUCACCUUAUGCUCUACCGACCUUUUUUUUUUUAACCCUUACCUUCCAUCUUAGAACCAAUAAAUACUGUGUAUUGGUUCUAAGGCAGAAGAGUGGUAAGGGCUGGGCAAUGGGGGUUAAGUGACUUGCCCAGGGUCACACAGCUGGGAAGUGUCUGAGGUCAUAUUUGAACCCAGGACCUCUGUUCUCUGGGUCUGGCUCUCAAUCCAUUGAGCCACCCAACUGCCCCUACCUACCUUUGUUUUGAAGUCACCAAGUAUUAAUAUAGAUGUUGAAUUAAUCUAGAGGGGGGUCACAUCAAGUUCUACAUAGAAUUUGUCUAUUUCCUCAUUCUUUGCAACUGAUGUUUACACGUAAGCUGCAGUUCUUCUUAUGAAGAAGGUCUUUUGGAAGGUACUUAUUAUAAACACUGCACUGUAAAGUAAUGAAAUGUCCCAUAAGAUCAUGUUUCUUGAUGCGUUUGGAAACAUGACAGAACCAAUUCCACUAACCCUUUGAUUUGCCUCUCUAAGGAAAUCCUGUGAACCAUCCUUCCAUUCAAUUUCCUUUUGAUUGUUUUUGUUUUUGUUUUUUGCUUUAAUUUAUAGCAAGAAUGUCAAGACUUACAUGACUCCUUUCCUUCAGUCAGCACUCAUUAGACAAAGGUUUCACUUUUAGAAUACAAUCAGCUAGUUUAAUGCUCCUAGACCUAAACAUUGUGUGAUUCUUAGCGAUGUUGGUGUUCUUUAUCAACCCUCUGCCACCAUUAAUGAACAGGAUCAAAGAAAAGUUUCUAUUUUUUUCCUUCAUUUCAUUGGUUGCCAUGGCCAAAAAAAAAUUAUCACCAAGUAUUUCAUACUCGCAAUGGUUCUUUUUGGCCAUCUUCUUGUCAUUCUGCUGUGCUCCAGCCUCUUUCUCUGACCUCCUGUGCUCCUGACUAAUAAGAAUUCACCAUAUUGUACCAGCCUUAAACCCAUUGGGCUUCUUGGACCAUAUUGCUGUCAUGCUGCUACAGGUAUCUCCAUCCUGUCACUCCCACUGCUUUUUCCCUUUCUCUGGGAAUAUUAAUAAAAAUCAUUACUGCCAUUAUUCAAAUUACUGCCAUUAUAUCAAAUGCCCUGUGACUCCAGUUGCCAUCCCUGUGGCUUCCUAGACUCUCUCUCUGGCCAUCACUUCCCUUUAUGCAGAAAUGCAUUAUCUUCUCCUUUUAAAGUAUCAGCUCCUGGAGGGCAGAGAUUAUAUGUGCUUAAUAAAUGUUUUUCUCAUUCAUUUAAUCUAGUUUCACAGAAUCAGAGUUAUAAGAGACUUUUAGCCAUUUAGUCCUACUGAUACAGGAAAGGAAUCCCCACCAUAACAUAGUUUCUCAGUGGUCAUCCAGUCUCUGCUUGAGGGCCUUCAAGGAGAGGGAACCAUUAUCUCUCAGGUAGUCCAUUUGGAAAGCUUUCAGGUGAUCAGCCCUCUGUAAUUCUCUUAGCUGAAACAUGGUCUAUUGCCAAGAUUGAAUCAGAGCUUUUUGAGCCUAAUAGAAGACUGCAGAUCUUGUGCUCUUUUGGGAUAGCACUCAAAAAUUCAGGGUCACCUCAAUUCAUUAAUGAAAUCUCAGAAUAGGAUUUGUGGAAUCAUUAUAUACUCUUAAAUUUGACUAACCGUUUUUAGAAUUCUUUCUCAAAAAAGAAAAAAGGUAUCCUUUCUAUGCUAAGCUGCAGGUUUAGAUGCUAAGCUAAAACUACCUUUUAAAAAGUCUUACCUUUAAAAUAUUUAAGUAUUUUUAAGUAUUCUGUAGGAAGUGCAGCAGUUUGGUUACUAACACAGUGGGAAGGAGUAGGACAGCUAAUUCUAGAAUGCAAUAAUUUUGACUCAGGGUAGAAUAGAGACAAAUAGGGCAGAAGUUGAAUUUUUUUUACUAGUUAUACCAGCUCUACCAUUCAGGAAGCUGCCCUUUCUGGUCAAAGCCUUGACAGAUGUGCCCAUACAUCCCAGUAAUAUUCUACUACAUUCAUAAGUUGCUGACCUAACCAAGAAACCUAAUAUAAUCAAGAAACAUAUUCAUACCCCAAAAUCAGAGAUCAUUUUAAUUGUAGCAUGAUUGUCAAAAGGUACCAAACCCAAGCUAACAGUGCUUGAAGGAAGUCCUGCUACUGUGUACCAGUUUUCUAACUACUGAAAAACUGUGGCGCUGUCUAUCUUAACCCUUAAUCACAUUAGCAUUGAACGAUGAUACUUUUAUAACACUGAUGCACAACCAUAGUUUCAAAGUACCUGGUCUGACCUAGUAAGAUCUCAUAGGACACUUUCUAGCUGUGUAACUCUUAAUCCCAUCUGCCUACCCUUGCCUUUCUGUAGUAGAGUUGUCAAUAGCACAGAAAGUCAGGGGGCUUUUUUUAACCACAUAAAACCUUGCUGACCAGUUAUAGUGUAAGAAAAAGCAUAAAAGGAAAAGUCUUCCAUAUAUUUCUGCAAUGCUAGAAUACCCCCAAAUAGGUAUCCCAGUUGAAUCCCCAGAGAUAUUGUUCCCAGGCCAACAAAUACACCAGUCACUGGAAAGCUACUCCAGAUUUGGGGUGUAUUUUGGGUCAAUAUCCACUUAAGAUCAUAGCUUAAGAUCCCUAUUAAUGUUUUUUUUAAAAAAAACCAGACCAACCAUAAGAUAUAUUAGUUCAAAGCAAAAGACAUCGUGUUAAACAGUAUAAGAAAACAUGAUCCAAGAAAGAUUUCUACGCACUCCACUGCCUGUUCUGAUACAAAUUGAGGUACAUUCUCCCAUGGGUUACCACACUUUUAGUGGAAAGGGGAAAACGUAUGGCCAGGGCAAUUCAUGCUCUUAAAAUGACAACCCUGCUGGAAACCUGUGCCUUCAAACUGCUAUAUUCUCUAUGCUGUUAGAAAUGACAUUUACAAGAAACAAAGAAAGUGGGAGGGGGCAAUUUAAGGCUACUGGAACAUUGGGGAGACCACCUGGUAAUAUUUAGGCUACUAACAAACAGAAUUUUCCCAUUCUUUUCCUGGAAUCUGACUUUAACCAGAAAGACAACAUGCUGUUGUGAGGAAUGUUGGACCUCAAAUCCGAAGAUCUAGUAUUUAAUUCUGGCCCCCAUCACUUAUUAACUGUUUAUCUCUUAACAAAUCAGUUGAACCCCAGUUCUUGUCUCUAGAAAAAGGAAAUAGCAAUACCUUCCUUACCUAUCUCAAAGAGUUAUUAUGAGGCUCAAACAAGAUAAUAUAUAAUGUGUCUGAAAGUGUAUUAUAAUUGCUUUAUAUAUAUAAAUAUAUAACAUAUUAUUUAUUUCCCCAGUUACUUUCUUAGAUUUGAGCUUGUAUGGAGAGAGAGAGAUUCUAGCACAGGUCCCUUAAUUUUGAUAGCCUUCUUUCUCUGUGGAGUCUGUGUGUGUGUGUGUGUGUGUGUGUGUGUGUGUUUCUCAAUUUUAAAAGUCUUACAGACACAGUGCUGACUCUGGCAUUCCCUUGUGUUGGUGUCCACUGUGACUCUUGGAGUCAUGGUGAAUUUAUCUGGUAUUAGUCCAAGGAUUACUGGAUGCUUAGUUUUCCAUACCUGUCAAAAGCUAUUAUUGAUGGGCACAUUUUAUAAAUGCAAUGAAUAAAUAAACAGCAGAUAGCUAGUCCCCUCAGCUUUGUGCUUAUUAGAGGCUCUGAUGGGCAGCUGAUGUCUUUGCUUCUCUCUAAGUCUGGGCCUUCCUUUCCUGGAAAAAAAAACCACAUAAGAAGGAAAUAACACACUUAAACUAUACAUUUUAUAUGUACACAUAUUUUAUAUGUAUAUAUAUGUACACACAUGUACAUAUACAUAUAUGUAAGAAAGUUGUGAAUAAAUUGAUGGGGAUUAGGACAGCAACUGGUUACUUGUGGGAAUUGAGCAAACUAGAAUGAUACCAUCUUGUGACAAUUCUGGAGCUAGCUCAAUUUCCUUUCUAUUUAAUUAUAGGCUUAGUCCGAAUUCUAUCUUGUGAGAAAAUUUUAUUCAUUUGUGAAAAUUGGGAGAAAACCGUAUUACAUUGUUUGAACCUUACUCUGCAUAGCUGGGAAACUGGAUCACUUAUACUCGCUGUUUAUAGACCCAUAACCAAAGACCUAGGUUAUAUUGACCAGAAAUGUAGUUAAAUCCUAAGUUUGAUGUAAAGAGUUUUCUCAUAAUUAUAUAUUUCAAGAAACCUAUAUAUCUUAUCUGAAAACUGCCCCCCCUCCAUACUGAUCAAUCAGGUAUUGUUUCUACCUUCUUUUCUUUGUUUACAGAUACUUGGGGAGGAGUAGGAAACCUCUUUUCCUGAAUUCAGGAAAUUGUAUCUGUUCUCUCCCUCCCAAUUUGGAAAAUCUCUCAUCUUUAUCCAAUUAGAAAUCAUAUUACCAAAAGUUAUGUUGUUUCCUUUUAAUUAAUUGAUCUUAUUUGAUUAUUUUUAAUGUAUAAAAAUUUAUUUUCCUGAAUUCAGAAUAUAGCCCUAAACUGAGGAAGGGGUUUGGUCCUGAUUUGUUAGGCAAUUGGCAUGCAUUGCUUAAUAAAUCAAUAUGCUCAGAAGAUCAAACCUUUGUUUCCCCAACCAUUUGAUCUUUUCCCCAUUACAUGUCUGAAUUAUUUUGGUCUUCUGAAUCAAGACUAGUUAACUUUAGUUAAAGUUGUUUUGUGUAUAGGGCUAUUGUCAUUUUUCUGGAUCCUCAUGAUCCUCAUUGCCAAAGGUGAUAUAGACUUAGUUUUGACCUUAAAGAUAUCUCUUUAUACAAAAUGUAAAAGUCCUUUGUUGCCACCUAUAGAUAAAGCUUUUGUUCCAGCAAAAAGUAUGUCUCCCUAUACAAAAUAUAGGUAUCCCUAUUCAUACUACAUUGGAACAUUAUGAUGGUUAUAACAUAGCUAGUCACCCUUUGGCCUUGGCUUUUAAAAAUAUCUGUGGCCAAACAAACAGCUGUAGAGACCAGAGCUGAGAUACAAAAAGAGGAAAGGUACCUGCUCAUCUGCUGUAGACCCCUGUGAGAAACCAAGUGUGCCCCAGUGAGGAAGAAGCCAUGGGACCUAAGAAAUGGAGUCUGUGAAUUAUGCAGACUGUGCAUGUCCCCCAUGGUUAGUGGAGGGUCAUCAGUACUCCAUAGACCUCAAGUGCUCUUUGGGGGAAUGUGUGUGUGUGUAGGGUGGGGAGGGGGCAGAAUCAGAGUUGUACUAUAGGUCUACAGAAUCAUCCAGGUCUCUUUACUGACUCUGAUUGCCUUACCCUUACAGGAGACUUCAGCCCUAGGUUAAAUCCAUGAGUCUGGUGUACUGAACAAGACCCUACAGCAGUGAUGGGGAACCUUUUAAAGAUGGAGUGCUGGGUCCUGCCCCCACUCCACCCCUCUGAGUACCAGGCCCCCUCUUUCUCAGUCCCCUCCACUCCCCCCUCCUUACCCCACCCAGAGGAGGGAGAAAGUGCUCCUAUUGGGCUUCUGGGCAGAGAGGUAGGGGAUGUGAAAAAUGUCUUCAGGCACAGAGGAAGGGGGGAGGGAAGCAGCUCCACCCAAGUCUCACCCAAGGGGGUGGUGGAGGGAGAAAGGUACAUGUCCAUAGAGAGUGCUCUACAUGCCAUCGUUGGCACCCGUACCAUAGGUUCACCAUCACUACCUUAGAGUGAGUGGAAACCCACUAGAGGGAAAAGGAAAGUUGUUUUUAACUGUUUAUGGGCUCUUUUCUCAUUUUGGAGGGCUAUUUUUUUGGUCAGGUUAAUAAAAUCUGCCAAGUAGCCAAUGUGUUGUUAGUCUGAGUGCUUUGCAUAGGAUCUCUGCUUCCUUUCUUUUAACUGUUGAGACUUAGAUACAGUAUGAAGUUUUACUUUCCUAGGGGAAAGUUGGUUGGGUUAUCAGUCAAAAUAAGGUGAUUUGUAUGAUGUCCCUAAAAUUGAAUCUGAUCUGUGUAAACCCAGAGCUACGUUUCCAAGUUCCUUUGAUUGUUUUCAGACACCUGGGGAGGAGUGGGACACCUCUUUCCUCAAAUUCAGGGAAUUGCACCUGUUUGCUUUCUCCCUCUCAACUUGAAAAGCUCCUAAUCUUUCAUCUAGUUAGAAAUUAGAAGCAUAUUCAUGCUUCCAAUAAACUUCCUUUCCCACUUAUACAUAAACUGCACAUACACCUAUCUUUCACACAUUCUCCCCCACACAGUCCCUCUCACAUUCAGCCAGCUCACAUACUACCCACGCCCCUUUCUAGAUCUGUUUCUCUUCUUCCCCUCACCCCAAGGUUUCUGAAGGAGGAAGUUUAUUUUCUUCUUUUUUUCUCUUUCAGAGUAAGUCAGCAGCUGCCAGGGAAACAGAAGGAGUUAACAGCUAUAUUUUUAACUUGGCACCCAUGGGAAUAAAUGACAACGUCUAACGUAUGCAUUAAUACGUGGUGAAGUAUUCUGGGAACUGAUCAAUGCCCUAGCUGUUGCUAUCUCUUUUGCCUGAGAAAAUCCACUUUCAGAAUCUGUCCUCUUAGGCUGCUUGCAAGCAUAUACAACUGCCAUGUGCCUCUGCCCCCAAGGCAUGGAGAAGAGCAACUCCUCUAACCAGAGUCCAUUCUCCUGAGUCCCAGCCAGCCAAGCAUCUUGGAAGAAGCCCUAGUUACAGGGAUUACUGUGUGAAGUAUACUACUCAAGAAUCUUUUUUUCUCUGCGUCUUAUCUCCAUUUGGGUCUACUCUUAAGCAAUCCCCAAGGCUGAUGCUUUGGAACUCCCACUACGAUCUGUGUGCUGUCUAAGAAGUAAAUCUGAGUGAUGAUCUCUUCUAUUUCGGUUCCUGCCCCAACAUGGUCUUGAUUUGGAUGUGGGGCAAGCCAUUUUUGCCUCUGUUUCUUGGCUACUUCACCUGCCUAUCUCCUGUUAUCUCCCUGUCCAUUCUGGCCUGAACAUCUCAAUAUUGACCUCUGCUGACUGGGCUUUUCUCAAACUGAGAAAUCCUUUACAAUUUCCCCUACUGAAAUAAACUGACAUAGCAAGGGUUAGUGGUUAAACUCCAACAGGAAUGGUGCCCAUCCACUAUCGGUUCAUUGGGUUAGCAAGAAAGCCCUUUUCCACCUCAAAAAGGGCAGAUAGAAGACCCUGAAAAGUACCAGGCAAAUGUAGAGGCAAAUAUAGAGAAAGAAGAGGUGAAUGCUGCCUCUCAUUUCUAGAACAAGAAGAACCAUAAUUCCUAGAGAAACUAUGAGCAUUUACUCAAAUUUCCAUCUCUGCCCAGUGAUCCAGUUCCAAAUGUCCAACUGCCUGCUGGAUACUCCUAUGUGGAUAUGACACUGGCAAACCAAAUCUUCCUUAAACUGAACUUCUUCACUCCCCCCAGAUUUCUCCAGACCCACUUUAUUUCUGUUACCACUAAACUCCUAAUCACCAGGAUUCAAAGCCAAAGGGCUAUCUUUGGUUUCUCCCUGUCCCUUGCUCCUUGCAUCUAAUAAAUUGCUAGUUGCCAAGUCCUAGAAAUUCUUCCUCAACAAUGUCUCUUGCUGAUGUGGUGGAAUGAGUGCUGCUUUUGGACAUUUUAGGCCCUGAUUUCAAAUCCUGACUCUUUUAUUUACUACCUUUGUGAUGUUAGUCAAGUCAUAUCCCCUCUCUCAGCUUUUUUUCCUCAUCUACAAAAAAAGAUAAGAUAAAGAUAUUUGAUACAGUUGGAUAAGAUAUAUGAUUCUAUUUCAAUCCUUUCCAUAUUUAUGAUUGUCUUUGAACAGUUUCUCAUUUCUUCUUACUUAGAUUUAGAGAUGGUAUUUUGCAAAAGAAAUGAGUUUGCAAGCAAGAGCCUUAGAAUGCAGUGGAGCAGUGAAGACAGGAGAGAGAUGAUUGGAAUCUUGGAGAAAGAGAAGGGGUUUCUGGGAGUUGAACUGCCAGCUUGUGGAGAUGCUCAUGAAUUCUGAAGAGAGAGCCAACUCUGAGACCCUUGCUCCAGCACUUGGAAGUGAAACCCACUCCUGCCAAGGAUUUCCUAUCAAAACUAAGAUCUGCAUAGUCCUGCAAUCUUUCCUGUCAUGUUGAGAAGAAUAAGACUAAAGAAGGAGCAGAUUCACACCGCUUAGUUUACCUUCAGGGGUUAUUCCCUGAGGUAGACAGAAUUGCUCCUAAUUCUGACCUCUCACCUGCUUCAGCUAAUACCCAGAGAUUUAUUCCUUUUGUGGAUUAGCCUAGGAUUAGACAGCAUAGGAAAGAAACUCUAGAUAGAGAGGAGAUUCAGAUUGGUCUCCACUUUAGCUGAGGGCUGGCAAGGCUUGAUGUUGAUGCUUGUUUUAUUAGUUUAGGGAAACCUUACAUCCUCUUUCUUGAUCCUAUCCCUGUUUACUUCAUACAAAUAAUUAUACAUCACUGAGAAGCAGUCUGAUCCAUCAAUCAGAACAUAAGGGAGAGAAGCAGUCUUUUGGGUUUUUAUGCUGUAGAGAGGGUUUUACCUCGAUGGGGUUGAGCCAAAUUCCCAGUCAACUGUCAUUGACCUCUCUCUUAGGUGACCUCUGCCUCUGAGGUGAAUGCCUUAAACUGGCUAGGUUACGUAAAACCUAGUCAACCAUCUAUACAAUCUCCUAAGGCAUUUAACUGCCAUUUCACAGUAUGCUUUAGCAUCCCCUUUUACACGUUUAUGGCUGUCUUUGAACAGUUUCUCAUUUCUUCUUAUCUAGACUAUGGCAAUAGACUCUUAACUGGUCUUCCUGUCUCUGGUUCCUUCCCUUUCUAAUCCAUUCUAAGUGUCACUGCCAAAGUAAUCUUCCUAAUGGACUGUCCUAAUAAUGGCAUUCUUCAAAAACCUUCAGUGAUUUGCCAUUACUUACAUGUAAGAAUGAGGUUGAUUGGCUCACUCAGUCGAGUGAUCUCACCCUAUUUAAAGUGAUUAGAUGUGGAAUCAAUCAGCUUCAAACAUAGGCUUUAGCCCAGUGGUUCUCAACCUUUCUAAUGCCGUGACCCCACAAUACAGUUCCUCACGUUGUGGUGACCCCAAACCAAAAAAUUCUUUUGGUGGCUACUUCAAAACUGUAAUUUUGCUACAGUUAUGAUUCAGAACGUAAAUACCUGAUAUGCAUUAUGUAUUCUCAUUGCUACAAAUCAAACAUAAUUUAAACAGUGAUUAAUCACAAAAACAAUAUUUAAUUAUAUGUUGAGAAAUAUUAAUCCAGCAGGAGGCAGCCUGAGCGCUGGGGCAGGAGGUAAGUCCUGCCUGGGGAGGGGGUCUGCAGAUGCUGCCUUCUUCUUCCUGUUGUCUCCCUCCAGCUCUAGCUGAGGCUUCACUUUGCUGGGGUUACUCAGCUCCGUUAUCCGCUCCAGGACUCGUUCUUAACCCCUCCGGAGUGCUUGGUGCUCUCUCUGGGUGUCUGUUUGAGUCCAGUCUCCAGGCAACAGGGUAAAUCCAUCGCCCCUCAUAGGGGGAGGGCUGAUCAUAGGUAACUAAUAUUAGUACAAUGUGUGGGCAGCAGGGUCCGUUCUUUCUGAGAUCUUGCUGUAAAGUAGCGGGAUUUCUCAGCAGCUAAAGCUAUUGGAAAUAUGUAUUUUCCGAUAGCUUUACGAGACCCCUGUGUUUUGGUCGUUCGACCCCUGCCAGGGUUGCAACCCACAGGUCGCUGCUUUAGACUAAGCAUUGGAAUUGGAAUGUGUUGAACAAGAUAAGCCAAGUCUUUUCCUUUCCCUUUUGGAUGGUACCCUAAAUAAUACCCCUCAGGGGCAGUAUUGCUGGAAUGCUUUGCUUUUUUCAAUCUCUUAAAUGACUCUCAAUUUCAUUGAUAAAUUAUAGAGGAUCCCUGAGGCAUGACCAAAAUCAUGGAAGCAUGAUGGCCUGCCCUGAAGUGAUGGCAGUGAAAGUAGAAAUGAAGGACUGAAUUGAGAGACUUUAAAGGAAAAAGUCAGGCUUUGGUGCCAGAUUGAAUGUAGAGGAUGAAGGAGGAAGAAAAGUCCAAAGGGGCAUGAAGGUUUCUAACUUAGAGGCAUCAUUAAUAGAAAUGAAAUUAUUAUAAAAUGGAGAUUGUUUUGGUGGUAAGAUUAUGAAAUUGUUUUGGACAUACUGUGACUUUUUCAGGAUAUUCGAUUCCAUAGAAUCUUGCUAAAAGUAAUUUUCCUCAGAGCUCUAAGAGAGGCAUCCAUUAUACAGUUAAUAUUAAUAGAGCAGAUCUGGGAGACACAGCUAUUUAUUUAUCUGAUGACUUGCUAGGUAGCCCUAGAGAAGUCAUUUCCUUUUUCUAA